Long non-coding RNA from Pelmatolapia mariae (spotted tilapia), 226 nucleotides. RefSeq lists it as uncharacterized. The transcript is spliced from 3 exons. Lineage: Eukaryota; Metazoa; Chordata; Actinopteri; Cichliformes; Cichlidae. The record is from RefSeq and is a predicted model, not a curated record.
ACAUCAAUUCAACAGAAUUGCAAUGAUGAAGCUGCUGUCAGUCUUCAUCCUCCUCCUGCUUCCUCUGAUGACCUGCUGUGAACCUUUCAUCCUUCCACUGGACUGCAGCGAUGUCUAUAACCAAGACACCAGUCGAACCAGUGGAGUGUACACCAUCUAUCCCAUUGGAGCCACGUCUGCUGUCCUGGUGUACUGUGACAUGGACUCACAAGGACAGUGGACGGUG